RNAcentral lists this small nuclear RNA (67 nucleotides) under Canis lupus familiaris (dog). RNAcentral describes it as "U4 spliceosomal RNA". It matches the Rfam family "U4 spliceosomal RNA", at positions 1 to 67 of the family's 138-position model. Rfam says of the family: U4 small nuclear RNA (U4 snRNA) is a component of the major U2-dependent spliceosome. The structure of U4 snRNA from yeast and human has been reported. RNAcentral also lists the same sequence under 1 other name. Lineage: Eukaryota; Metazoa; Chordata; Mammalia; Carnivora; Canidae. The record is from Rfam by way of RNAcentral.
AGCUUUGUGCAGUGGUAGUAUCGUAGCCAAUGAGGGUUAUCCGAGGCACGAUUAUUGCUAAUAGAAG